This is a small nuclear RNA of Hemicordylus capensis (graceful crag lizard), 191 nucleotides long. RefSeq annotates it as U2 spliceosomal RNA. NCBI's taxonomy places the organism in Eukaryota, Metazoa, Chordata, Lepidosauria, Squamata, Cordylidae. The transcript has a single exon. The record is from RefSeq and is a predicted model, not a curated record.
GCAACCUUAUGGCCCUGUGGCUAAGAUCAAGUGUAGUCCCUGUUCUUAUCAGUUUAACAUCUGAUGUGUACUUUAUUUGAGGACUGAAUAUUAAUUCUAUUUUUAGAACUGGGAUGUGAAAAGGGAGCUUGCUCCAUUCACUCCAAGCAUCAACCUGGUAUUGUACUGUCUCCAGGAAUGGUGACCCUCCC